RNAcentral lists this ribosomal RNA (406 nucleotides) under uncultured bacterium. Its description in RNAcentral is "partial 16S ribosomal RNA". It matches the Rfam family "Bacterial small subunit ribosomal RNA", at positions 30 to 526 of the family's 1533-position model. The record is from RNAcentral.
AUUGAACGCUGGCGGCAGGCCUAACACAUGCAAGUCGAGCGAGCGGCGGACGGGUGAGUAAUGUCUGGGAAACUGCCUGAUGGAGGGGGAUAACUACUGGAAACGGUAGGUAAUACCGCAUACCAUCAGAUGUGCCCAGAUGGGAUUAGCUAGUGGGUGGGGUAACGGCUCACCUAGGCGAAGAUGCCUAGCUGGUCUGAGAGGAUGACCAGCCACACUGGAACUGAGACACGGUCCAGACUCCUACGGUAGGCAGCAGGAGGGAAUAUUGCACAAUGGGCGCAAGCCUGAUGCAGCCAUGCCGCGUGUGUGAAGAAGGCCUUCGGGUUGUAAAGCACUUUCAGCGGGGAGGCGUUACCCGCAGAAGAAGCACCGGCUAACUCCGUGCCAGCCGCCGCGGUAAUUC